GACGAACGCUGGCGGCGUGCUUAACACAUGCAAGUCGAACGAAAAGAGGGAAAGAGCUUGCUCUUUCCGGAAUUGAGUGGCAAACGGGUGAGUAACACGUAAACAACCUGCCUUCAGGAUGGGGACAACAGACGGAAACGACUGCUAAUACCGAAUAAGUUCCAAGGGCCGCAUGGCCCAUGGAAGAAAAGGUGGCCUCUACCUGUAAGCUAUCGCCUGAAGAGGGGUUUGCGUCUGAUUAGCUGGUUGGAGGGGUAACGGCCCACCAAGGCGACGAUCAGUAGCCGGUCUGAGAGGAUGAACGGCCACACUGGAACUGAGACACGGUCCAGACUCCUACGGGAGGCGCAGUGGGGAAUCUUCCGCAAUGGGCGAAAGCCUGACGGAGCAACGCCGCGUGAGUGAUGACGGCCUUCGGGUUGUAAAACUCUGUGAUCCGGGACGAAAAGGCAGAGUGCGAAGAACAAACUGCAUUGACG
This 479-nucleotide ribosomal RNA is filed under the name Dialister invisus. RNAcentral describes it as "bacterial SSU rRNA". It matches the Rfam family "Bacterial small subunit ribosomal RNA", at positions 28 to 474 of the family's 1533-position model. The record is from RNAcentral. Lineage: Bacteria; Bacillati; Bacillota; Negativicutes; Veillonellales; Veillonellaceae.